UGCUGGACUGUAGUCGAGGUCCUCCCGAGCCACCCCGCAGCCAGACAGCUAGGACGGCUUUUGCCUUGAUUCUCCUAGAGCGGAGUUCUCCCGGGCUGUCCCCGGGGGCGGCUCCGUGUGCACCUGUGUAGAGCAGGAGGGCGUUCCUAGGAGGAGUGGCCUGGACUCAGCCCCCGGCCCUCGGCUUCCGCGGCUCAGUGGGGUCUCCCAGUCGCCAGGCCCUCGCUUGGGCUCGGCUGCCUCCCAGCUGCGUGACCUUGGGCAAAUCACGUGGCCUCUCUGAGUCUCUUCUGAGACCUGGGCUCCUGGCCGCCGCGCAGGGCGGGGCUGUGGGCGUGGUCACCAGGACAUCGGGCAGCUGUGGUGCCUGCCCUGGGCACCCGGCCCACAUCGCCACGGGGGAUCUGGACGGCUCCCGUGGCAUCUUCCCACGACUUAGCGGGAGGGGAGUGGGGGGCGCUGUUGUGAGUCCCAUUUUACAGGGUAAGAAGCUGAGUCUCGGUGGGGCGGGGGGGGCGGCCUCCUGCCGCAGGCCACGUGGAGAGCCAGGCUGCAAAUCCGGAUCUGCCUCUUGUCCGUGCCGGGAGCAGCCGGGAUCUGCCGACGCGUGGGCUCGUGGCUGCCUGUUAAAGAAGGAAAAUAAAUGACUGAGCGAAAGCGCUGUGUGUGGCAGCCAUUUUCUGCCAAAAAUAUGGGGCGCCUCUGACGUUAAAGAGGCCUUCGAGGGUCGGCGCGGGGGACCCGGCCGUGGGCAUGCUCGGCCCUCCUCCCGGAGCGGCCCCCCGUCUGCUCCUGCCACCCACAGCCAAGACCGCGGAGGGCGAGCCCCCCACCGCCCCAGGGACCCCCAGCACCCUCGGCCGCAGGCUGCACAACUGCUCCGGAGCUGUCGUCAGCUCUUCCAUAACGCUGAGAAAGCCCCCCCCGCCCCCCCAGCUGGAGCACUUUGUCUUUGGUAAGAAGAGCAGGAGCCGGGCUUUGAUUCUCAUUAGCAAACCACAAAUCCCCGGCAGCCUCUCUAGGGGUGCGGCUCACGGACGGAGCCCACUAGAAGCUUCUGGGAGGGAGCCGGAGGCGGCAGGGCGUGCUCUGCGCCAGGAGCUUGCUGUCUGCUGGCGAUGGGUGGAGCUGGUGCAACCCUGUUGUGCCAUGAAGAGAAGAACCUCAGGACCGAAGCUGAGGCUUCCUGGAGAGACUCCUGAUCUUGCCAGUGACCUGACUGGACCUGCCGUCGGGAGCCCCCCGGGCAGGUCUGAGGGCAGGGGCCCUGCUGCCUGGCCGUCACAGACAUUUAUAGAAGAAGAGAAAGACCUGGGUCCCCCAAACCCCGCGUUCAAGUCAGUUUUCAGAAACAACAACAACAACGCAAGCCCCAUCCUGCCCUGGGCUCCUCUGGCGGAGGCCACGCUGGCCACUGGCAUGACUGGCACUAGAGCCCCUGCCGGACCCUCGCAGCCAGGAGCCUGUGCCAGGGGCUGGGAUGGCCUCAGCACCCCCAGCUCCCCGCUGUGUGGGGCUCCGGCGUGUACGGACAGCUCGCGAGCGUCUUCCCUGAUAAUAAAAAUCGUUUCGACAGAAAGGGUGCCCCGUGGGCCUGGGGGGCGCAGGUCGUGCCAAGCGGGCCGGAAGCGCUCUGUGCGAUAUGGCCUGGCGGCGGGCACGGCUGGCGUGGCUGGGAACCCAGGACCCACCGGCCUCUGCAGGAGCACGGAGCCCUGGCGCUGGUGA
This 1728-nucleotide long non-coding RNA is filed under the name Oryctolagus cuniculus (rabbit). RNAcentral's name for it is "lncRNA (ENSOCUG00000033731.1)". The record is from RNAcentral. Lineage: Eukaryota; Metazoa; Chordata; Mammalia; Lagomorpha; Leporidae.